RNAcentral lists this ribosomal RNA (253 nucleotides) under uncultured bacterium. RNAcentral describes it as "partial 16S ribosomal RNA". It matches the Rfam family "Bacterial small subunit ribosomal RNA", at positions 524 to 776 of the family's 1533-position model. The record is from RNAcentral.
UACGUAGGGGGCAAGCGUUGUCCGGAUUCAUUGGGCGUAAAGAGCGUUUAGGCGGCCAGGUAGGUCGGUUGUGAAAACUGGAGGCUCAACCUUCAGAGGUCGACCGAAACCAUCUGGCUAGAGUCCGGGAGAGGAGAGUGGAAUUCCUGGUGUAGCGGUGAAAUGCGCAGAUAUCAGGAAGAACACCCGUGGCGAAAGCGGCUCUCUGGAACGGUACUGACGCUGAGACGCGAAAGCGUGGGGAGCGAACAGG